This 88-nucleotide transfer RNA is filed under the name Bacteroidetes/Chlorobi group bacterium ChocPot_Mid. Its description in RNAcentral is "tRNA-Ser". It matches the Rfam family "tRNA". From Rfam's summary of the family: Transfer RNA (tRNA) molecules are approximately 80 nucleotides in length. Their secondary structure includes four short double-helical elements and three loops (D, anti-codon, and T loops). Further hydrogen bonds mediate the characteristic L-shaped molecular structure. tRNAs have two regions of fundamental functional importance: the anti-codon, which is responsible for specific mRNA codon recognition, and the 3' end, to which the tRNAs corresponding amino acid is attached (by aminoacyl-tRNA synthetases). tRNAs cope with the degeneracy of the genetic code in two manners: having more than one tRNA (with a specific anti-codon) for a particular amino acid; and 'wobble' base-pairing, i.e. permitting non-standard base-pairing at the 3rd anti-codon position. Lineage: Bacteria; Pseudomonadati. The record is from RNAcentral.
GGAAAGGUGCAGGAGUGGUUGAACUGGCACGCCUGGAGAGCGUGUGUACCGCAAGGUACCGUGGGUUCGAAUCCCACCCUUUCCGCAA